CAAGAAUAUUUAUUGUUGUGAUAAGUAUCUUCCUAAUUGUGUCAAAAAUUGUUCAAAAUAACAAUGACAAUAUUAUAGCAACAAACUAAGUCCUCUUGUUCCACAAACCAGUGUUUCUCUGUGAGAUUAAACAUCACAAGGUAAAUACAAAACAAGCAAGAUGAAGAUAUUCAAAAUUCUGUGUACCAUACUGUUGAUGCUGAUGGCAGUGUUAGCAGGAACAGCCAGUGGACGGCAUGCAUACGACAGCAGAAUUAAAAGAGAUGCUAAGAACAAAUUGGGAAGAGUAGAACCGAUUCUACCAAACGACUUCAAUAAGGCAAUGGGUGAAAAGAGAUGAGAGGAUCAGUAACACAACGGGCUGGAUCUCUUAUAAUCAUAUUGGUGGAUUUGGUCUCUAUAUCAACAUUUCUGUAUUUGUUAGAUUUCAUUUUAUCAUCUUAUCAAUACUUGUUUAUCUUGACAAGCUCUAUACAAUAAUUAUAUUUUGUAACUGAAGAAAUAAAUCAUUUGCCUAAAGAAA
Mytilus californianus (California mussel) is the source of this 523-nucleotide long non-coding RNA. RefSeq lists it as uncharacterized. The record is from RefSeq and is a predicted model, not a curated record. The transcript is spliced from 3 exons. NCBI's taxonomy places the organism in Eukaryota, Metazoa, Mollusca, Bivalvia, Mytilida, Mytilidae.